This 713-nucleotide ribosomal RNA is filed under the name Klebsiella pneumoniae. RNAcentral's name for it is "partial 23S ribosomal RNA". It matches the Rfam family "Bacterial large subunit ribosomal RNA", at positions 812 to 1527 of the family's 2925-position model. Lineage: Bacteria; Pseudomonadati; Pseudomonadota; Gammaproteobacteria; Enterobacterales; Enterobacteriaceae. The record is from RNAcentral.
UGGCUGGGGGUGAAAGGCCAAUCAAACCGGGAGAUAGCUGGUUCUCCCCGAAAGCUAUUUAGGUAGCGCCUCGUGAACUCAUCUUCGGGGGUAGAGCACUGUUUCGGCUAGGGGGUCAUCCCGACUUACCAACCCGAUGCAAACUACGAAUACCGAAGAAUGUUAUCACGGGAGACACACGGCGGGUGCUAACGUCCGUCGUGAAGAGGGAAACAACCCAGACCGCCAGCUAAGGUCCCAAAGUCAUGGUUAAGUGGGAAACGAUGUGGGAAGGCACAGACAGCCAGGAUGUUGGCUUAGAAGCAGCCAUCAUUUAAAGAAAGCGUAAUAGCUCACUGGUCGAGUCGGCCUGCGCGGAAGAUGUAACGGGGCUAAACCAUGCACCGAAGCUGCGGCAGCGACACUAUGUGUUGUUGGGUAGGGGAGCGUUCUGUAAGCCUGCGAAGGUGUGCUGUGAGGCAUGCUGGAGGUAUCAGAAGUGCGAAUGCUGACAUAAGUAACGAUAAAGCGGGUGAAAAGCCCGCUCGCCGGAAGACCAAGGGUUCCUGUCCAACGUUAAUCGGGGCAGGGUGAGUCGACCCCUAAGGCGAGGCCGAAAGGCGUAGUCGAUGGGAAACAGGUUAAUAUUCCUGUACUUGGUGUUACUGCGAAGGGGGGACGGAGAAGGCUAUGUUAGCCGGGCGACGGUUGUCCCGGUUUAAGCAUGUAGGCUG